Molecule: ribosomal RNA, 443 nt
Filed under: uncultured bacterium
Lineage: Bacteria
Description: SSU rRNA
Rfam family: Bacterial small subunit ribosomal RNA
Source: RNAcentral
AGGAUUAACGCUGGCGGCGUGCCUAACACAUGCAAGUCGAACGCCCCGCAAGGGGAGUGGCAGACGGGUGAGUAACGCGUGGGAAUCUACCCAGUUCUUCGGAAUAACACAGGGAAACUUGUGCUAAUACCGAAUACGCCCUACGGGGGAAAGAUUUAUCGGGAUUGGAUGAGCCCGCGUUGGAUUAGCUAGUUGGUGGGGUAAUGGCCUACCAAGGCGACGAUCCAUAGCUGGUCUGAGAGGAUGAUCAGCCACACUGGGACUGAGACACGGCCCAGACUCCUACGGGAGGCAGCAGUGGGGAAUAUUGGACAAUGGGCGAAAGCCUGAUCCAGCCAUGCCGCGUGAGUGAUGAAGGCCUUAGGGUUGUAAAGCUCUUUCAGUGGGAAGAUAAUGACGGUACCCACAGAAGAAGCCCCGGCUAACUUCGUGCCAGCAGCCGC